This 1113-nucleotide long non-coding RNA is filed under the name Lathyrus oleraceus (garden pea). RNAcentral describes it as "Pisum sativum (pea) long non-coding RNA (PSAT_LNC032088)". The record is from RNAcentral. Lineage: Eukaryota; Viridiplantae; Streptophyta; Magnoliopsida; Fabales; Fabaceae.
GAGAUACCACCGGUAUAUAAGCCGCCGUUUGAGAAGCCGCCAAUUUACCAUCCGCCAGUAGAGAUACCGCCAAUAUACAAACCACCAGUAGAGAUACCUCCGAUUUAUAAGCCACCAUAUGAAAACCCUCCAAUUUAUAAGCCACCAAUUGAGCAACCUCCAGUGUACAAACCACCAGUAGAGGAACCUCCGGUUUACAAGCCGCCAGUCGAGAAGCCUCCAAUUUACAAGCCACCAGUUGAGCAACCACCUAUAUACAAACCACCAGUUGAGAAGCCUCCAGUUUACAAACCACCAGUUGAGAAGCCUCCGGUUUACAAACCACCAGUUGAGAAGCCACCUGUAUACAAACCACCAGUUGAGAAGCCUCCGGUUUACAAACCACCAGUUGAGAAGCCACCUGUAUACAAACCACCUGUUGAGAAGCCUCCAGUUUACAAACCACCAGUUGAGAAGCCUCCGGUCUACAAACCACCAGUUGAGAAGCCACCUGUAUACAAACCACCAGUUGAGAAGCCUCCAGUUUACAAACCACCAGUACACCAGUUGAGAAGCCACCUGUAUACAAACCACCAGUUGAGAAGCCUCCAGUUUACAAACCACCAGUUGAGAAGCCUCCGGUCUACAAACCACCAGUUGAGAAGCCACCUGUAUACAAACCACCAGUUGAGAAGCCUCCAGUUUACAAACCACCAGUUGAGAAGCCUCCGGUUUACAAACCACCAGUUGAGAAGCCACCUGUAUACAAACCACCUGUUGAGAAGCCUCCAGUUUACAAGCCACCAGUCGAAAAACCACCGGUUUAUAAGCCACCAGUUGAGCAACCACCUGUAUAUAAACCACCAGUUGAGAAGCCUCCAGUUUACAAACAUCCAGUAGAAAAACCACCUGUUUACAAGCCACCAGUAGAGAAGCCUCCAGUUUAUAAGCCACCAGUAGAGAAACCACCUAUCUAUAAGCCACCAGUAGAAAAGCCUCCUGUCUACAAGCCACCAGUCGAAAAGCCACCCGUGUAUAAGCCACCGGUUGAAAAACCUCCAAUUUACAAACCACCUGUAUACCAGCCCCCGGUUGAAAAUCCCCCAAUUUACAAACCACCUAUAGAAAAGCCAC